GACGAACGCUGGCGGCGUGCCUAGCACAUGCAAGUCGAGCGGGGAUUACCGGAUGAAGUUUUCGGAUGGAAUCUGGUAAUUCUAGCGGCGGACGGGUGAGUAACGCGUGAGCAACCUGCCUCUCACAGGGGGAUAACGCAGCGAAAGUUGCACUAAUACCGCAUGAGACCACACUUCUGACAUGGGAGAGGGGUCAAAGGAGGAAUCCGGUGUGAGAUGGGCUCGCGUCUGAUUAGCUGGUUGGUGAGGUAACGGCCCACCAAGGCGACGAUCAGUAGCCGACCUGAGAGGGUGAUCGGCCACAUUGGAACUGAGAGACGGUCCAAACUCCUACGGGAGGCAGCAGUGGGGAAUAUUGGGCAAUGGGGGAAACCCUGACCCAGCAACGCCGCGUGAAGGAAGAAGGUUUUCGGAUCGUAAACUUCUAUCCUUGGUGAAAAUAAUGAUGGUAGCCAAGAAGGAAGCCCCGGCUAACUACGUGCCAGCAGCCGCGGUAAUACGUAGGGGGCAAGCGUUGUCCGGAAUGAUUGGGCGUAAAGGGCGCGUAGGCGGCCUGAUAAGUUUGAAGUGAAAGUCCUUCUUUUAAGGAGGGAACUGCUUUGAAAACUGUCGGGCUUGAGUGCAGGAGAGGUAAGCG
Molecule: ribosomal RNA, 637 nt
Filed under: uncultured bacterium
Lineage: Bacteria
Description: bacterial SSU rRNA
Rfam family: Bacterial small subunit ribosomal RNA
Source: RNAcentral